RNAcentral lists this ribosomal RNA (2924 nucleotides) under Xanthomonas arboricola. RNAcentral's name for it is "bacterial LSU rRNA". It matches the Rfam family "Bacterial large subunit ribosomal RNA". The record is from RNAcentral. Lineage: Bacteria; Pseudomonadati; Pseudomonadota; Gammaproteobacteria; Lysobacterales; Lysobacteraceae.
AGCGCACACGGUGGAUGCCUAGGCGGUCAGAGGCGAUGAAGGACGUGGUAGCCUGCGAAAAGUGUCGGGGAGCUGGCAACAAGCUUUGAUCCGGCAAUAUCCGAAUGGGGAAACCCACUGCUUCGGCAGUAUCCUGCAGUGAAUUCAUAGCUGCUGGAAGCGAACCCGGUGAACUGAAAUAUCUAAGUAACCGGAGGAAAAGAAAUCAACCGAGAUUCCCUAAGUAGUGACGAGCGAACGGGGAACAGCCCUUAAGCUGGAAUGGCUUUAGAAAAACAAUCUGGAAAGAUUGGCCAUAGAAGGUGAUAGCCCUGUAUUUAAAAGGGCCACUCCAGUGAAGACGAGUAGGGCGGGGCACGUGAAACCCUGUCUGAAUAUGGGGGGACCAUCCUCCAAGGCUAAAUACUCCUGACCGACCGAUAGUGAACCAGUACCGUGAGGGAAAGGCGAAAAGAACCCCGGAGAGGGGAGNGGACCAUCCUCCAAGGCUAAAUACUCCUGACCGACCGAUAGUGAACCAGUACCGUGAGGGAAAGGCGAAAAGAACCCCGGAGAGGGGAGUGAAAUAGAUCCUGAAACCGUGUGCGUACAAGCAGUAGGAGCUCGCAAGAGUGACUGCGUACCUUUUGUAUAAUGGGUCAGCGACUUACUGUUCGUGGCAAGCUUAACCGUAUAGGGGAGGCGAAGGGAAACCGAGUCUGAUAAGGGCGCAUAGUCGCGGGCAGUAGACCCGAAACCGGGUGAUCUAGUCAUGGCCAGGGNCCCACGUCUGUUGCAAAAGACGGGGAUGAGCUGUGAUUAGGAGUGAAAAGCUAAUCGAACCCGGAGAUAGCUGGUUCUCCUCGAAAGCUAUUUAGGUAGCGCCUCGGACGAAUACUACUGGGGGUAGAGCACUGUUAUGGCUAGGGGGUCAUCGCGACUUACCAAACCAUUGCAAACUCCGAAUACCAGUACGUACUAUCCGGGAGACACACGGCGGGGGCUAACGUCCGUCGUGAAAAGGGAAACAACCCAGACCCACAGCUAAGGUCCCAAAUUCACUGCUAAGUGGAAAACGAUGUGGAAAGGCACAGACAGCCAGGAGGUUGGCUUAGAAGCAGCCACCCUUUAAAGAAAGCGUAAUAGCUCACUGGUCGAGUCGGUCUGCGCGGAAGAUUUAACGGGGCUAAGCAGUGAACCGAAGCUUGGGGUGCAUAAAACUUGUUUUAUGCGCGGUAGAGGAGCGUUCCGUAAGCCUGCGAAGGUGGAUUGAGAAGUCUGCUGGAGGUAUCGGAAGUGCGAAUGCUGACAUGAGUAACGAUAAUGCGGGUGAAAACCCCGCACGCCGAAAGCCCAAGGUUUCCUUGCGCAACGUUAAUCGACGCAGGGUUAGUCGGUCCCUAAGGCGAGGGCGAAAGCCGUAGUCGAUGGGAAGCAGGUUAAUAUUCCUGCACCUCGCGUGAGUGCGAUGGAGGGACGGAGAAGGUUAGGUGUACCGGGCGUUGGUUGUCCCGGGGAAAGGCGGUAGGUUUGAAUCUUUGGCAAAUCCGGGAUUCUUUAAGACCGAGCACCGAGACGAGCCUUUAUGGCGAAGUCACUGAUACCACGCUUCCAGGAAAAGCUCCUAAGCUUCAGCUCACGAAGACCGUACCGUAAACCGACACAGGUGGGUAGGAUGAGAAUUCUCAGGCGCUUGAGAGAACUCGGGUGAAGGAACUAGGCAACAUGGCACCGUAACUUCGGGAGAAGGUGCACCCUUUUUGGUGGCUCAUGCGAGCUAUAGCUGAAGAGGGUCGCAGAAACCAGGCCGCUGCGACUGUUUAUCAAAAACACAGCACUCUGCAAACACGAAAGUGGACGUAUAGGGUGUGACGCCUGCCCGGUGCUGGAAGGUUAAUUGAUGGGGUCAGCCGCAAGGCGAAGCUCUUGAUCGAAGCCCCAGUAAACGGCGGCCGUAACUAUAACGGUCCUAAGGUAGCGAAAUUCCUUGUCGGGUAAGUUCCGACCUGCACGAAUGGCGUAACGACAGCGGCGCUGUCUCCACCCGAGACUCAGUGAAAUUGAAAUCGCUGUGAAGAUGCAGCGUUCCCGUGGCAAGACGGAAAGACCCCGUGAACCUUUACUAUAGCUUUACACUGAACGUUGAGUUCGUCUGUGUAGGAUAGGUGGGAGGCUAUGAAACUGUGGCGCUAGCUGCAGUGGAGCCAUCCUUGAAAUACCACCCUGUCGUGCUUGACGUUCUAACCUAGAUCCGUUAUCCGGAUCAGGGACCGUGUAUGGUGGGUAGUUUGACUGGGGCGGUCUCCUCCUAAAGAGUAACGGAGGAGCACGAAGGUACGCUCAGCGCGGUCGGACAUCGCGCACUGUGUGCAAAGGCAUAAGCGUGCUUGACUGCAAGAUCGACGGAUCAAGCAGGUACGAAAGUAGGUCUUAGUGAUCCGGUGGUUCUGUAUGGAAGGGCCAUCGCUCAACGGAUAAAAGGUACUCCGGGGAUAACAGGCUGAUACCGCCCAAGAGUUCAUAUCGACGGCGGUGUUUGGCACCUCGAUGUCGGCUCAUCACAUCCUGGGGCUGUAGUCGGUCCCAAGGGUAUGGCUGUUCGCCAUUUAAAGUGGUACGCGAGCUGGGUUCAGAACGUCGUGAGACAGUUCGGUCCCUAUCUGCCAUGGGCGUUGGAAGUUUGAGAGGGGCUGCUCCUAGUACGAGAGGACCGGAGUGGACGAACCUCUGGUGUUCCGGUUGUCACGCCAGUGGCAUUGCCGGGUAGCUAUGUUCGGAAGCGAUAACCGCUGAAAGCAUCUAAGCGGGAAGCGCGCCUCAAGAUGAGACUUCCCGGGGCACAAGCCCCCUAAAGGAACCAUAUAGACUAUGUGGUUGAUAGGUCAGGUGUGUAAGUACAGCAAUGUAUUGAGCUAACUGAUACUAAUGAUCCGUGCGGCUUGACC